Molecule: RNA transcript, 2266 nt
Organism: Strongylocentrotus purpuratus (purple sea urchin)
Lineage: Eukaryota; Metazoa; Echinodermata; Echinoidea; Camarodonta; Strongylocentrotidae
Exons: 6
Source: RefSeq, a predicted model, not a curated record
UGGCUGCUUUGAGAUCUGAGAAGGUUAGGUACCCCUCUUUUCCUGAUGAUUUCUCCCACCCUGCUACACUUGCCAGCACUGAGAGUGCUCCUUGUGAUGAUGCUUCACAAAAAUACCGGCCUCAAUUCCUACGAUCUCUAUCUGAGGUUGGAAGCAGUUCUGAGAUCAGUAACUGGCAUAGCCUUCGUUCUACAGACAGAACUCUGAGACGUCGAAGGACUCCACCCAUAGCUGCAUUGAGAUCUGAGAAGGUUACACCCUCUUUUUCUGAUGAUUUCUCCCACCCUGCUACACUUGCCAGCACUGAGAGUGCUCCUUGUGAUGAUGCUUCACAAAAAAAACGGUAAGUGGAACUUGCAUACCAUCAUGAUAUGCGUUUGUUUCUUUUUUGACAAAGAAAUUCUGUUAGUUUAUUGUCUAUCCCAGAUUCAUCAUUCUCUGCCGUUAAAAGAGACCAGUAUUGUGAAAUUGUCAGAUAUGAAGGAAACAGAACACAUGUGGUAUGCUUUUAUGAAUGGCCUUGUUUAUACCAGAGAAUUAGGAAUUACAAAAUGGGCUCAUUUUCAAUAAGCCCGAGCUAGUUGACCCAUUAUUUUUUCUUUCAGGCCUCAAUUCCUACGAUCUCUAUCUGAGGUUGGAAGCAGUUCUGAGAUCAGUAACUGGCAUAGCCUUCAUUCUACAGACAGAACUCCGAGACGGCCUCAACUCCUACGAUCUCUAUCUGAGGUUGGAGGCAGUUCUAAGAUCAGUAACUGGCAUAGCCUUCGUUCUACAGACAGAACUCCGAGACGGCGACGUCUACACUCAACAUAGGAGAAGGCUUCGGAAAACAUCACCGACAGAUGUAGCCGAAGAAAGAGGAUCUACUCUGCAUAAUGCAAGUAGAAUGAGAUACUGUACAGCCGGAAUCUUUCGCAACAUGAAAGGACACAUAUUUCUAUAGGAAAAAAAUUAAUUUGAUUGAAAUGUAAUGAUUCAGUGUUAAUAAUGAUAAUUUGGGUAAUAAUAAUUUGUGUACCCAUGGUAUUAGCUUCACCAGCGUUAAUGCCGUUCAUCGUCUCGAGGCCCUGCAAUUAUUAAUACCCCAUCAGUUGCCAGGUACCCAUUCCCACCUGGGUGGAGAGUGGCAGAUAUGGGUUAAUGUCUUGCCAAAGGAUGCUAGUACCAUGCUUGGAUUUGAACCCUCCACCCUUGGAAUGAGAGUCAAGUUAAUCCACCUCUAUACUACGACACCUCCACAUUUGUAUGGCGAUAGUGAUUCAACCAAUUUGUGGAACAGAACUUAUGCGAUUCUGAAAUUUACAAACCUUUCCUUAUUGUUUUUUGUUGUUGUGUGUUUUAGGUAACUCAAGAAUGAAAGGUGGACUUGUUGAAAAGAAUGAGGCUCUUUGUUGAAUUCUUUUAGAUGUAAGCUUUAAUAUAUCACAUUCUCGAGAAACAUAAAUCAAUUUUUUUACCUAUGUACCAACAAAAAGUUGUAAGGGUAUUAAUAAUUUAGUUGUUAACCAUACACAAAAGUUUCUGGUUUAAAGCAGUUAGUCGCUGUUUAGUGCAGGGUCAAGAGUGCCAAAUUUAAAUAAAUGUCUUGCCAUGGGAGAAAGUUAUUAGUCUCUGUCGGAGAUAAGAUAGAGCAAUGGAGUAUGUUGUAUUUCAAUGACAUUUUAGGGACCAAUCCAAUUGGUUCCAAUUUUAGAACUAUAUGUAUAUAAUUUGUUUUUUCAUUGAUUGAUAGUCUUCAUUCUGGUUUCAAAUCAUGUAUAUAAAAGUUUACCAUUACUUUAAAAGAAAUAGAAGAUAUAUAGGAUAUUCAUUUUAAAUGGGUUUCUGUUUCUGUUUUCUGUUGCUAAAGCUGUAAAUACUUGAAUAUAAAUAUGUAUAUUUGAUUGGGUUUGGACAAAACGUAAUUUAAAUGCCAUACUAUAUGGACAUAAAAUACCAAAGAGAUUCCGGUUAGAUAAUACAUGUACUUCAACACUGCCUCAAAUGCCUUUCAAAGUAGAGAAUAUUAUGUAAAGUGGGUCUCUGUUUUCUGUUGCUGGGACUGUAAAUACAUGUACUUGUAUGCCCUUUUGUUCAAGUAUGGUUUUAAGAAUAUACAUUUUAUGCCUAACAAUGCUAGUGAUUUGUUGUUACUGAGUGCAAAAUGUAUUUUAUGGUUAGGAAGAUAGAUAGUGAUAUGUAACUACAUUUGUAGAUAAGGUAAGUAUUAUUUGUACAUUGGCAGUAGUGAGCACAUUUUUUUUUUUUUUUGCCCUUAAAAAUUUAA